RNAcentral lists this unclassified non-coding RNA (344 nucleotides) under soil metagenome. Its description in RNAcentral is "partial contains 5.8S ribosomal RNA, internal transcribed spacer 2, and large subunit ribosomal RNA". The stretch from base 1 to 120 matches the Rfam family "5.8S ribosomal RNA", at positions 35 to 154 of the family's 154-position model. The record is from RNAcentral.
GAUGAAGAACGCAGCGAAAUGCGAUACGUAAUGUGAAUUGCAGAAUUCAGUGAAUCAUCGAGUCUUUGAACGCACAUUGCGCCCUCUGGUAUUCCGGAGGGCAUGCCUGUCCGAGCGUCAUUGCUGCCUCAAGCACGGCUUGUGUGUUGGGCUCCGUCCCCCGAUCCCGGGGGACGGGCCCGAAAGGCAGCGGCGGCACCGCGUCCGGUCCUCGAGCGUAUGGGGCUUUGUCACCCGCUCUGUAGGCCCGGCCGGCGCUUGCCGAUCAACCAAAUUUUUAUCCAGGUUGACCUCGGAUCAGGUAGGGAUACCCGCUGAACUUAAGCAUAUCAAUAAGCGGAGGA